Molecule: long non-coding RNA, 2686 nt
Organism: Gorilla gorilla gorilla (western lowland gorilla)
Lineage: Eukaryota; Metazoa; Chordata; Mammalia; Primates; Hominidae
Exons: 9
Source: RefSeq, a predicted model, not a curated record
CAGAGAUACCAUAAACUAAAAUGCUGCAAAGCUUUAAUUCAAACAAGCAGGCUGGAAACAAGAGCUAGUGCAGUGGUAUAAUUUUCUUUGGGAGAAUCAAAAGCUCAACACAGACUUGAACUUAGGGGGCAAAAUAGCUGGAGUUGAUCAAAUGGAGGCUUGUCUAGGGUCGCAUAAUAAAUCUGUAGGUGAGUUGAGCUUGAACCCAUUUCUCAAUAUUAUGGCACUAUUUUCCAGCCUUUGUGCUUCUGAGCAUCAUGUGGUCAUUUUUAAAACUUGUUUCAUCCCGUCAUUUCUCCCUCCUCUCAGGUAUUUGUCUGGGGCUGGCUGUGCACCCAGAAGGCCAUUCGCUCCAUGAAGAACAUGACAGAGGUACCUGGUCCUACCUGGAUUCUUGGGCAUGCGGGCAGCAGCAGCAGCAGCAGCAGCAGCCACAGUGAACUUCAUCCUAAGGAAAUUAAGCACACGUUGCGUGAGGCUGCUGUGGGGGUGCCAGGUGCUGAGGUUUCUGUAGUGGAUAAAACACAAAAAUACCAGCCCUCAUUUUGAAAAUGGAGUGACAAUAAACAAGAUAAAUUAGAUCUAUGCAACAAAACCAAGCCUUUGUGCACAUCUGUGGUUGUGACCAGUUGGAGAGACAUUAGGAGAUGAGAUACUAUGUUCACUCCUCACAGCUGUACCAGGGACCUGAGAUAUUCCAUCACUAUUCUAUGAGCCUGGGCUGGUGAAUGGUUCCUGCUUUCACUAUUCCAGAUGUCCAGCUCUGUACCUUGCUGCUCUCCUUAAAGCCUGCCUCCAUCUAGAUGGUCUGGCUUGAUGAUAUCCAACCUGACGUGGCCUGAAAAGACAGACAAUGGCUCUUGCUAGCUAAUUAUUGUCAGAUGGAUCGGCAGCCGACCAACGCUUCUGAAGCUAUUGUUUUUGGCAAAUGUUCCUCAGCAUUUUCCUGGGAGCUAUGGUGCAUUACUCACGAGUGACAGAACCAACGAGCUUCAUCUCCCAAGAGGCUGGUGCAUCUGUUUAAAGGAGCAGGCACUAUGCAGAGCAGCCCCCACCCCACCCUCCAUGGCAGAGUGCAGUGGGGGAAGAUGGGGAAACUGAGGCACAGAGAGGUUAGAGAUAUGCCUGAAGCCACACAGCUUGCAAGUGGUGGAGCUGGGAUUUGAACUUGUCGAUCUGGCUGCAGAGCUGAGCUCUUGGAGACUAGGUUUUACUGCCUAGUAGCAUGUAAGCCUGGAACUGCCAGCAGUCAUUUUGCUGAAAGGAAAUGUGGAUCUGAAAUUACCAGUGCAGUGAGUGUCAUGAAGAAGCACAGAGGUCUAAACAACACUUACUGGGAGUCUCUAAGCUACUCAAGAGAUCAGGAAGGGACUUUCCUGAGAAGCUGAGAUCUGCAUUAUGAUGUCAAGAGGCAGUAUGAGACAGUGGCUAUUAAGGCUCUGGGGUUACAUCAUCUGGAGACUGAGAACUUGGGAUGCUCCUUGUUCAUCCAAGCAUUUGAACAAAUCCAGUGUCCUUUUUGAGCAAAAUAUGAGCCCCACCUUUAGAAUCUGUGAGUCUCCCCUUCAGAUGGGAAAGCUGUUUUUGUGGCUAAAAUUAGAAACAACCCAAAUGUCUAUGAAAUGAUGCAUGGAUAGAUAAAAUGUGAUAUACCCACACAAUGGAAAAGUAUUUAUCAAUAAAAAGGACUGAAGUCCUGAUACAUACUCCAACAUGAAUAAAUCUCCAAAACAUUAUGCUAAGUGAAAGGAGCCAGACACAAAAGACCACGUUCUGUGUAAUUCCAUUUAUAUAAAAUGGCAAAAAACCAAAUUCAUAAAAACAGAAAAUAGAUUAGUGCCUAGAUUUGAGGGUGAAAAAAUUAACUACAUGAUCUUUUUGGAGUGAUGAAAUAUUCUAUAGUGGAUUAUUGUGAUAGUUGCACAACUUCUUAAAUUUACUAAAUAUCAUUGAAAUGAAUAAAUUUUUAUGUUGCAUACAUUAUAUCCUAAUAAAUUUAUUUUUAAAAACAUCCUUUAUGACUGAGUUAAAUAAACUUGCAAGCUCCUAAAUUUGUAUGGUAGGAUGUUAAUUUUUAGUUUAAGACAUUUGGUUUCUAAAGAUACUGAAUCUCCAGAGAAGUCAAAUGGAAUAUUAGCAGUUGGGCUAAUCUGAGAUAUAACCUUGAUGAAUUUGCUAGGGAUGUCUGAUGGUUGGGAGGGACAUUGAACGUUUUGAGCCAACAAGAUCUCUGACUUCCAUCCUUAUAGUGAACUCUGUUACUUUGGGCAGCAUUAUCUCAUCUACCUGUUGAAAUCCCCUUUCUAAGUUAUUAUCAUCAAGAUUGUUCAAAUAGAAACCAAUAUUGCUGUAUUUUGUCUUUUGUACAGCCAUAUUUGAAGACAUUGGCUGUUAGGUUUCUUGAGAUCCCUAAAAUGGGAUCCCUUAGAUCUCAUUCCAUGAAAAUUAUUCUCAUCGCGUGCAGAAAAUUAUUUUAUGAUUUGGAAAAACUUGUUUCUAAUUCAUCCCUUGCAGGUUACAUGAUCUGGAGACUGAGAACUUGGGACACUCCUUGUUCAUCCAAGCGUUUGAACAAAUCCAGUGUCCUUCUUGAGCAAAAUAUGAGCCCCACCUUUAGAAUAUGUGAAUCUCCCUUUCAGAUGGAAAAGCUUUUUUUUUGCAUUAAAUAAACUUGAUCCUUAGAUCC